This 445-nucleotide ribosomal RNA is filed under the name uncultured bacterium. Its description in RNAcentral is "partial 16S ribosomal RNA". It matches the Rfam family "Bacterial small subunit ribosomal RNA", at positions 354 to 796 of the family's 1533-position model. The record is from RNAcentral.
GUGAGGAAUAUUGGUCAAUGGGCGAGAGCCUGAACCAGCCAAGUCGCGUGAAGGAAGAAGGAUCUAUGGUUCGUAAACUUCUUUUGCAGGGGAAUAAAGUGCAGGACGUGUCCUGGUUUGUAUGUACCCUGAGAAUAAGGAUCGGCUAACUCCGUGCCAGCAGCCGCGGUAAUACGGAGGAUCCGAGCGUUAUCCGGAUUUAUUGGGUUUAAAGGGUGCGUAGGUGGUUUGAUAAGUCAGCGGUGAAAGUUUGCAGCUUAACUGUAAAAAUGCCGUUGAAACUGUCGGACUUGAGUGUAAAUGAGGUAGGCGGAAUGCGUGGUGUAGCGGUGAAAUGAAUAGAUAUCACGCAGAACUCCGAUUGCGAAGGCAGCUUACUAAGCUACAACUGACACUGAAGCACGAAAGCGUGGGGAUCAAACAGGAUUAGAAACCCGAGUAGUCC